CCCGCUGAACUUAAGCAUAUCAAUAAGCGGAGGAAAAGAAACUAACAAGGAUUCCCCUAGUAACUGCGAGUGAAGCGGGAAAAGCUCAAAUUUAAAAUCUGGCAGCCAUUUUACGGUUGUCCGAGUUGUAAUCUAGAGAAGUGCUUUCCGCGCUGGACCGUGUACAAGUCUCUUGGAAUAGAGCAUCAUAGAGGGUGAGAAUCCCGUCUUUGACACGGACUACCAGUGCUUUAUGUGAUGCGCUCUCAAAGAGUCGAGUUGUUUGGGAAUGCAGCUCAAAAUGGGUGGUAAAUUCCAUCUAAAGCUAAAUAUGGGCGAAAGACCGAUAGCGAACAAGUACCGUGAGGGAAAGAUGAAAAGCACCUUGAAAAGAGAGUUAAACAGUACGUGAAAUUGUUGAAAGGGAAACGCUCGAAGUCAGUCGCGUCUUCCGAGACUCAGCUUCGCGUUCGCGCGGAGGGCAUUUCUCGGGCUUAGACGGGCCAGCGUCGAUUUCGCUCGUCGGACAAAGGAGGGGGGAAAGUGGCACCCUUUCGGGGGUGUGUUAUAGCCCCUCUUCGGACGCGACGGGCAGGGAUCGAGGAUCGCAGCACGCCCCACCUUUGGGGCCGGGGUUCGCCCACGGUAACGUGCUUAGGACGCUGGCGUAAUGGCUUUGAGCGACCCGUCUUGAAACACGG
This 680-nucleotide ribosomal RNA is filed under the name uncultured fungus. RNAcentral's name for it is "eukaryotic LSU rRNA". It matches the Rfam family "Eukaryotic large subunit ribosomal RNA", at positions 24 to 664 of the family's 3401-position model. The record is from RNAcentral. Lineage: Eukaryota; Fungi.